Molecule: transfer RNA, 66 nt
Filed under: Tapinoma melanocephalum
Lineage: Eukaryota; Metazoa; Arthropoda; Insecta; Hymenoptera; Formicidae
Description: tRNA-Leu
Rfam family: tRNA
About the family: Transfer RNA (tRNA) molecules are approximately 80 nucleotides in length. Their secondary structure includes four short double-helical elements and three loops (D, anti-codon, and T loops). Further hydrogen bonds mediate the characteristic L-shaped molecular structure. tRNAs have two regions of fundamental functional importance: the anti-codon, which is responsible for specific mRNA codon recognition, and the 3' end, to which the tRNAs corresponding amino acid is attached (by aminoacyl-tRNA synthetases). tRNAs cope with the degeneracy of the genetic code in two manners: having more than one tRNA (with a specific anti-codon) for a particular amino acid; and 'wobble' base-pairing, i.e. permitting non-standard base-pairing at the 3rd anti-codon position.
Source: RNAcentral
UUUAAUAUGGCAGAAUAGUGCAAUGAAUUUAAACUUCAAAUAUAAAGAUCAAUUCUUUUAUUAAAA